This 460-nucleotide ribosomal RNA is filed under the name uncultured bacterium. Its description in RNAcentral is "partial 16S ribosomal RNA". It matches the Rfam family "Bacterial small subunit ribosomal RNA", at positions 338 to 795 of the family's 1533-position model. The record is from RNAcentral.
CCUACGGGAGGCUGCAGUGAGGAAUAUUGGUCAAUGGCCGUAAGGCUGAACCAGCCAAGUAGCGUGAGGGAAGACUGCCCUAUGGGUUGUAAACCUCUUUUAUAAAGGAAUAAAACGAGGCACGUGUGCCUUUUUGCAUGUACUUUAUGAAUAAGGAUCGGCUAACUCCGUGCCAGCAGCCGCGGUAAUACGGAGGAUCCGAGCGUUAUCCGGUUUUAUUGGGUUUAAAGGGAGCGUAGAUGGGUUGUUAAGUCAGUUGUGAAAGUUUGCGGCUCAACCGUAAAAUUGCAAUUGAUACUGGCAGUCUUGAGUACAGUUGAGGUAGGCGGAAUUCGUGGUGUAGCGGUGAAAUGCUUAGAUAUCACGAAGAACCCCGAUGGCGAAGGCAGCUUACUAAACUGUGACUGACAUUGAUGCUCGAAAGUGUGGGUAUCAAACAGGAUUAGAUACCCUUGUAGUC